GGGCAUGUGGUGUAAUUGGUAACACACGUAUCCACGGGGGAUCUCUUUAACUGGCACCCGGAGUUGUUGGUUCGAAUCCAACCAUGUCCA
Molecule: non-coding RNA, 90 nt
Organism: Poronia punctata
Lineage: Eukaryota; Fungi; Ascomycota; Sordariomycetes; Xylariales; Xylariaceae
Source: the annotation of a GenBank genome assembly